Long non-coding RNA from Fukomys damarensis (Damara mole-rat), 733 nucleotides. RefSeq lists it as uncharacterized. The record is from RefSeq and is a predicted model, not a curated record. The transcript has 5 exons. Lineage: Eukaryota; Metazoa; Chordata; Mammalia; Rodentia; Bathyergidae.
GGACCACCUGGUGAGGGGAAGACCUCGGGGCUCCCUAUUUCUCAGCUGUGACUGUGCUCCCUCGGGUACAUGUUGGAGGCCCACGUGGGAUGUGCAUCGAGCCCAGCCUCACUUUUUACAGAAGCAGCUGGGGAAGAACACAGCUCAGAGAAGUUGGAGUCAGCUGUGUGCACUCUGCAUGCUGAGCCUAGACCGGGCUGGGAUACUGUCCCGUGCCACCUUUCUUGCUGUUCUUGCAGGAUGCCCUCUGUAGUUUGGGCGUGUGGACUCAAGAAGGAGGAGGAGAUUACCCAGCAAGGAGGCAUGAGCAGGCCUGGAAUCCAACCUUGAGCAAAGAAGCGGAACAGCCUUUUCAGAGCCUUGGCCUUACUUCCCCCUCACAAAAUCACCAGCUAUGAAGAACACACAGCGCAGGGCGAUUCCGCAACUAUUGGGUUACCUUGAUGAAGACCCGUGGUGAAGCUAGCCUCCAGGACUCCUGGGCCCUGGGACUGCAGGAGGGCUGAGAUACUAGAGGGGAACAAGGACCGGCUCCCAGCAUGGUGCUGGGGACAGGCAGCGGCAGGAGAGCUGCCCUCCAGGAUGUGUAGCUCCAAGACGCCAGGCAGCGAUUUCUGCACAGGAAGAAGGACGGCGGACAGGCCUGUGAACAUGAUCUCCUCUCCCUUGAGGGAGGAAGCUCCCGCCAGUGCGGCUGGUGAUUAAUAGGCUCUGAGCACCCCAACCCCUGUCA